RNAcentral lists this ribosomal RNA (393 nucleotides) under uncultured bacterium. Its description in RNAcentral is "partial 16S ribosomal RNA". It matches the Rfam family "Bacterial small subunit ribosomal RNA", at positions 523 to 918 of the family's 1533-position model. The record is from RNAcentral.
AUACGGAGGAUGCAAGCGUUAUCCGGAUUUAUUGGGUUUAAAGGGUGCGUAGGCUGUUCGGAAAGUCAGGGGUGAAAGCCCGGCGCCUAACGCCGGAACUGCCUUUGAUACUUCCGAGCUGGAAUACGGAUGCCGUGGGAGGAAUGAGUAGUGUAGCGGUGAAAUGCAUAGAUAUUACUCAGAACACCGAUUGCGAAGGCAUCUCACGAAUCCGUCAUUGACGCUGAGGCACGAAAGCGUGGGGAUCAAACAGGAUUAGAUACCCUGGUAGUCCACGCAGUAAACGAUGAUGACUAACCGUCGGCGAUACCCAGUCGGUGGCCAAGCGAAAGCGAUAAGUCAUCCACCUGGGGAGUACGUUCGCAAGAAUGAAACUCAAAGGAAUUGACGGGG